UUAGCUGAAGCCAAAAAGAGGCAUAUCACUGUUAAUGAUAAGAAUGAAAUAUAUUUCCAGCUAAG
Molecule: transfer RNA, 65 nt
Filed under: Tramea virginia
Lineage: Eukaryota; Metazoa; Arthropoda; Insecta; Odonata; Libellulidae
Also listed under: 1 other name
Description: tRNA-Asn
Source: RNAcentral